This 531-nucleotide long non-coding RNA is filed under the name Helianthus annuus (common sunflower). Lineage: Eukaryota; Viridiplantae; Streptophyta; Magnoliopsida; Asterales; Asteraceae. The record is from RNAcentral.
GGUUGCGAUCAUACCAUCAUUAAUGUACCGGAUCCCAUUAGUACUCCACAGUUAAGCGUGCUUGGGCGAGAGUAGGAUUAUGAUCGGUGACCCCCUGGGAAGUCCUCAUGUUGCAACCCUUUUUUAUUUGUUUUUAUUUUUUUUGGUUAUAUAUAUAUAUAUAUAUAUAUAUUAAUCAUAGAUUCACUGGGCGCAAGUGGCCAUGUUCUUUGGAACGAGACUACGGGGGCCGGAGGCGUGAUAGCCUAAGGAAUACGGGAGUGACUGACUUUGUCUAAGGAAUGGCCUUGACACAUGCGCGCGGGCGAACGACGCCCACAAGACUCGUAACGGAGGCCAUACAUAGGAGCCCAGAUGUGCAUGAGAUCAAGGCAUGGAAAGGUAUAAAGAAAUAAGGAGAUGGUAGUCUUUCGGUUGCGAUCAUACCAACAAUAAUGCAACGGAUCCCAUCAGAACUACGCAGUUAAGCGUGCUUGGGCGGGAGUAGUAGUAGGAUGGGUCACCCCUGGGAAGUCCUCGUGUUGCAACCUU